AGGGCUUGCAGCAGCCAAGUGCACUGCGUGUGUCACCAAGCGACGGCGGCACCUCCAGCGGAGACGCACAGGGCUUGCAGCAGCCAAGCACACUGCAUGUGCCACCGAGCGACGGCGGCACCUCCAGCAGAGACGCACAGGGCUUGCAGCAGCCAAGUGCACUGCGUGUGUCACCAAGCGACG
This is a long non-coding RNA of Ixodes scapularis (black-legged tick), 183 nucleotides long. RefSeq lists it as uncharacterized. NCBI's taxonomy places the organism in Eukaryota, Metazoa, Arthropoda, Arachnida, Ixodida, Ixodidae. The transcript has 3 exons. The record is from RefSeq and is a predicted model, not a curated record.